RNAcentral lists this ribosomal RNA (498 nucleotides) under uncultured bacterium. RNAcentral describes it as "partial 16S ribosomal RNA". It matches the Rfam family "Bacterial small subunit ribosomal RNA", at positions 28 to 523 of the family's 1533-position model. The record is from RNAcentral.
GAUGAACGCUAGCGGCAGGCCUAAUACAUGCAAGUCGGACGGGAUCGGGGAGCUUGCUCCCCGUGAGAGUGGCGCACGGGUGCGUAACACGUAUGUAACCUACCUUUAUCAGGGGGAUAGCCUCUCGAAAGAGAGAUUAACACCGCAUAACAUCACAUGAUAGCAUUAUCGAGUGAUCAAAUAUUCAUAGGAUAAAGAUGGGCAUGCGGGACAUUAGUUAGUUGGCGGGGUAACGGCCCACCAAGGCGACGAUGUCUAGGGGAUCUGAGAGGAUGACCCCCCACCCUGGUACUGAGACACGGACCAGACUCCUACGGGAGGCAGCAGUAAGGAAUAUUGGUCAAUGGACGCAAGUCUGAACCAGCCAUGCCGCGUGCAGGAGGACGGCCCUACGGGUUGUAAACUGCUUUUGUACCGGAAUAAACCCUUUUACGUGUAAGAGGCUGAAUGUACGGUAAGAAUAAGGAUCGGCUAACUCCGUGCCAGCCGCCGCCGUAA